Molecule: ribosomal RNA, 539 nt
Filed under: uncultured bacterium
Lineage: Bacteria
Description: partial 16S ribosomal RNA
Rfam family: Bacterial small subunit ribosomal RNA
Source: RNAcentral
UGGGGAAUAUUGCACAAUGGGCGAAAGCCUGAUGCAGCAACGCCGCGUGAGGGACGACGGCCUUCGGGUUGUAAACCUCUUUUAGCAAGGAAGAAGCGAAAGUGACGGUACUUGCAGAAAAAGCGCCGGCUAACUACGUGCCAGCAGCCGCGGUAAUACGUAGGGCGCAAGCGUUAUCCGGAAUUAUUGGGCGUAAAGAGCUCGUAGGCGGUUUGUCGCGUCUGCUGUGAAAACCCGAGGCUCAACCUCGGGCCUGCAGUGGGUACGGGCAGACUAGAGUGCGGUAGGGGAGAUUGGAACUCCNUGGUGUAGCGGUGGAAUGCGCAGAUAUCAGGAAGAACACCGAUGGCGAAGGCAGAUCUCUGGGCCGUAACUGACGCUGAGGAGCGAAAGGGUGGGGAGCAAACAGGCUUAGAUACCCUGGUAGUCCACCCCGUAAACGUUGGGAACUAGUUGUGGGGGUCCAUUCCACGGAUUCCGUGACGCAGCUAACGCAUUAAGUUCCCCGCCUGGGGAGUACGGCCGCAAGGCUAAAACUC